GAUGAAGAACGCAGCGAAAUGCGAUAAGUAGUGUGAAUUGCAGAAUUCAGUGAAUCAUCGAAUCUUUGAACGCACAUUGCGCCCUUUGGUAUUCCUUAGGGCAUGCCUGUUCGAGCGUCAUUUGAAACCUCAAGCUCAGCUUGGCGUUGGGUGUCUGUCCCCGCCUCACCGCGGGGACUCGCCUCAAAAUCAUUGGCGGCCGGUACGUUGGCUUCGAGCGCAGCAGAAACGCGAACUCGAGGCCCGGCGGAUCGGCGACCAGAAGUCACUUCUUCACAGUUUGACCUCGGAUCAGGUAGGGAUACCCGCUGAACUUAAGCAUAUCAAUAAGCGGAGGA
This 338-nucleotide unclassified non-coding RNA is filed under the name soil metagenome. Its description in RNAcentral is "partial contains 5.8S ribosomal RNA, internal transcribed spacer 2, and large subunit ribosomal RNA". The stretch from base 1 to 120 matches the Rfam family "5.8S ribosomal RNA", at positions 35 to 154 of the family's 154-position model. The record is from RNAcentral.